This 1745-nucleotide long non-coding RNA is filed under the name Anas platyrhynchos (mallard). RNAcentral describes it as "lncRNA (ENSAPLG00020017740.1)". Lineage: Eukaryota; Metazoa; Chordata; Aves; Anseriformes; Anatidae. The record is from RNAcentral.
UAAAGAUUUUAGGAGUGAAGGGAGAGAGGAGAGAGAAUUCAAGUGUUCUAAAUUCUUUCAGUAGAAACACAAAACCAACCUCACAAGGACACUUAACUGUGAUGAAAUUUUAAAAACUCAUUUCAAUCAGACCUGUAAAUAGGGCAGCCGGAGUGAUUUUAGUAACUGUGUAGAAGUUGCAGACAAAGGAAAAGACACCCUCCUGUGUUUCAAGGGAUUUUGUGAGUAGAUCAAAAUAGAUGAAAGGAAGAAGGCAAGGAAAAAACACUUUCCAGAGAGAGACUGAAACAAAAAGACUUUGGGCACAAGGAAUUAUCUCAGGAGUGGGAACUGAACCCAAAUCCCAAAUUCGACACUUCAUUACCUUCAACGGACCAUUCUUCACACAAUGAACUGGGAAUUUCUUGUUAGCCAUGCUGACACCUGCAACUCUAUGCCAUUUUUCUUUAUAGAUAUACUGACUUUUGAAUAUGUGGUAAAUACAGAGAAAAAAAAGCCCCUCCAGUGUUGUUUCCUGCAAAGACCAUUCUUAAGAGCUCGUUGGACAGCGCAGGGCUCUUGAAGUGAUAGCUAAUUGGUGAAAGAAAGGCCCCGAUUGUCUUGAGGGAGCUGGAAAGUGCUGCGUGUGCUGCUGAAAGGGACUAGGGAGAAGGUGCCUGGUUUCGCUGAGCAGCUGCUGCUGGAGAUGUUUGGAGAUUACAUCAGCAUUGGAAAAAAGGGGCAAAAAAAAAGUCCAACUUCACAGAGACGGAGUUUAUGGAGUUUUUUUCCCCUUCCAAAGGUCUUCUGACAAUACUGUCAUUGUCAAUAUAAGAGUUGUUAAUUCUUUAUGAAUAGCACAUGGGGCCUCUUGACUAAAUAGUACGUUACAUGUCCCAAAUCUGUCAGCUGGGCUCUUCUCUCACAUGCUAGUGAGAUCACUUUGAUUGGAAUGUUACAGGAAUUGCGGGGCCGGCCACAGAACUGAAUACUGCAUUAUAUAAUUAGAUCUCCCCAAGUAUUUUUUUUUCACAUUACCUCAUUAUUCUAGCUUAAAUAUGGAAUCAGUCCUUUUGAUGAUUUUGCUGAUUGUGAUUAUAUUCAUACGAUUCAUUUUAUGGUCCUGCCUUAGUGCUUAUAUAGAUUACAAACUGUCCCGAAGGUUUCCUGACAAGAGAAAAGAGGACUAGGAUACUUCAAAAGGCUUGUUCGGAUUUGAACUGGCAAUGAGGACAACUGGACGAGGUAAAUGGAGCUAGAGCAGAUUUUACUUCGGGUUCUGAUGAGAGAGAAAUGACCUGCUGAGACUGCAACUGAGUGAAGAGUCUUCAGAAGGCCUCAUGCUGACAGAGAGGGGGGGAAAUCCAACAACUGAUUGAAUCAAACGACUUCCUAUCAGACUAGGGCAAGAAUUUGUUGUUGGGAACAGACUUGUGGACUUUUGCCAAUGAAAUGAUCUGGACAAGCUGGAUGGAAUCCUAUUGUUGGGCAGUCCAAGACUGCCAGUGGCCCCGUCUUGAUACAUGAAAUGCGAUGGCUCAUUGCCUGCUGGACAAACUGCUGAUCUGCACGUUAAGAUGUCAGCUGCACAGCCUGCCUGGAUGCAACAACUGACUGUGCCUGAACGAACAUGAGGAUUACUGGCCCAGUUUAGGAUCCGUGUCUAAGGAAGCAGAUUUACAGAGUGCAUUUUUACAUGAUUGACUGUCUUGUUGCUAAAUUUUUCUUGUGGUUCAUCCCGGUCAGUUGGAUCAGAAACUGAGUGU